Molecule: ribosomal RNA, 577 nt
Filed under: uncultured bacterium
Lineage: Bacteria
Description: bacterial SSU rRNA
Rfam family: Bacterial small subunit ribosomal RNA
Source: RNAcentral
CCUACGGGAGGCAGCAGUAAGGAAUAUUGGUCAAUGGACGAAAGUCUGAACCAGCCAUGCCGCGUGAAGGAUUAAGGCCCUCUGGGUUGUAAACUUCUUUUAUCUGGGACGAAAAAAGGGUAUUCUUACUCACUUGACGGUACCAGAGGAAUAAGCACCGGCUAACUCCGUGCCAGCAGCCGCGGUAAUACGGAGGGUGCAAGCGUUAUCCGGAUUUACUGGGUUUAAAGGGUGCGUAGGUGGGCUUGUAAGUCAGUGGUGAAAUCUCCGGGCUUAACCCGGAAACUGCCAUUGAUACUAUAGGUCUUGAAUUAUCUGGAGGUAAGCGGAAUAUGUCAUGUAGCGGUGAAAUGCUUAGAUAUGACAUAGAACACCAAUUGCGAAGGCAGCUUACUACGGAUAUAUUGACACUGAGGCACGAAAGCGUGGGGAUCAAACAGGAUUAGAUACCCUGGUAGUCCACGCCCUAAACGAUGGAUACUCGACAUCAGCGAUACACUGUUGGUGUCUGAGCGAAAGCAUUAAGUAUCCCACCUGGGAAGUACGAUCGCAAGAUUGAAACUCAAAGGAAUUGAGG